AUCCAGCUGACGAGUCCCAACCAGGACGAAACGCGCGUCCUGGAU
This is a non-coding RNA of Schistosoma margrebowiei, 45 nucleotides long. The record is from Rfam. Lineage: Eukaryota; Metazoa; Platyhelminthes; Trematoda; Strigeidida; Schistosomatidae.